Molecule: ribosomal RNA, 494 nt
Filed under: uncultured bacterium
Lineage: Bacteria
Description: partial 16S ribosomal RNA
Rfam family: Bacterial small subunit ribosomal RNA
Source: RNAcentral
GAUGAACGCUGGCGGCGUGCUUAACACAUGCAAGUCGAACGGCAAGGCCUGUUCUUCCUUGUGUUGGACGGGUACUCGAGUGGCGAACGGGUGAGUAACACGUUAUUGAUCUGCCCCCAACUUGGGUCUAAGCCUGGGAUACUGGGUCUAAUUUCCGAUCGGACUGCAGGGUGGUGCCUGUGGUGGAAAACGAUUUUCUAGUGGGUGGGGAUGAGCUGGCGGCCUAUCAGCUUGUUGGGGGGGCAAUGGCCUACCAAGGCGGCGACGGGUAGCCGGCCUGAGGGGGUGGAGGGCGACAUUGAGACUGAGCAGCGGGCCAGACACCGACGGAAGGCAGCGGUGGGUAAUAGUGCACAAUGGGAGGAAGCCUGAUGCAGCGACGCCACGUGGAGGAUGACAGCCUGCGUGAAGUAAACUCGUUUCGGGCGCGAGGAAGUCGCCUGGUUGGGAGGGAGAUGACGGUAGUUGAAGAAGAAGCACCGGCUAACUACGUG